This 720-nucleotide ribosomal RNA is filed under the name Triticum aestivum (bread wheat). RNAcentral describes it as "partial small subunit ribosomal RNA". Lineage: Eukaryota; Viridiplantae; Streptophyta; Magnoliopsida; Poales; Poaceae. The record is from RNAcentral.
CUCCAAGGAAAGUUCUCUCCUGUAACGAAAAUUAUUCUUCCUGGUCAAACCGCAGAUGAGAAAAGUGCACAGGUCAAUCUACAAACUAAAGCAGUUGGUCAACUUCUCGACUUGAAGGACCAUCUUACGUUUAGCACACGUUUCUUCUGCUCGGUCACUCUGUCCAGGCUCAGUCCUGGUCAGCGUUGGUGGUUCAUGUCUUGUGAGAAGUGCCAUAAAACAGCACAGCGACAUGGCUCUGUCUACAGGUGCAUUGACCCCACAUGUGCCUCCACCGACGCAAUGCCAAGAUAUCGCAUAUGCUUCAGAUGCACUGACGAUUCAAGGGAGGCCGAGUUUAUUUUCUUCGACAGGGUUGGAAAAGAGAUUGUUGCUAAAUCUUUGAUCACUUUGCUACGUGAAGGGUAUUCCAAUCGUACAACCCUUGAAGAGAUUGUUGAAAUAGCACGUGGAGACCCAGGCAUCCCUAAAGACAUAUCCACUUUGAUUGGCAAGAAGUACAGAUUUGUGGUGUCUAUCUCUUCAAAGAGCUUUAUGCCUGAUGCCGAGGAGACAUCCUUCCAAGUUAUCAGCAUAGAUGUGCCUGUGGAAAAGACCUCGAGCUCUGCGGUUUUAUAUCGCAAGGCAGAUUCCUCUGGACCUUCUACUGGUGAUGUGGGGUGUCCUGGUUCUGGUGAUGUAUCACCCUUAGUGUUGCCCGUUGGAAGCUUCUCAACUGAU